Molecule: ribosomal RNA, 372 nt
Filed under: uncultured bacterium
Lineage: Bacteria
Description: bacterial SSU rRNA
Rfam family: Bacterial small subunit ribosomal RNA
Source: RNAcentral
UACGGAGGAUCCGAGCGUUAUCCGGAAUUAUUGGGUUUAAAGGGUGCGCAGGCGGGGAUCUAAGUCAGGGGUGAAAGACGGUGGCUCAACCAUCGCAGUGCCUUUGAUACUGGAUUUCUUGAAUGUACCUGAGGUAGGCGGAAUGUGGCAAGUAGCGGUGAAAUGCAUAGAUAUGCCACAGAACACCGAUUGCGAAGGCAGCUUACCAAAGUACGAUUGACGCUGAGGCACGAAAGCGUGGGGAUCGAACAGGAUUAGAUACCCUGGUAGUCCACGCCCUAAACGAUGAACACUCGAUGUCGGCGAUAGACAGUCGGCGUCCAAGCGAAAGCGUUAAGUGUUCCACCUGGGGAGUACGCCCGCAAGGGUGAA